RNAcentral lists this long non-coding RNA (8557 nucleotides) under Nicotiana tabacum (common tobacco). RNAcentral describes it as "long non-coding RNA (NTAB_LNC000628)". The record is from RNAcentral. Lineage: Eukaryota; Viridiplantae; Streptophyta; Magnoliopsida; Solanales; Solanaceae.
AAGACCACCGGGCAGAAGAACAAGAUUACCAUCACCAAUGACAAGGGCAGACUCUCGAAGGAGGAGAUUGAGAAGAUGGUUCAGGAAGCAGAGAAGUACAAGUCUGAGGAUGAGGAGCACAAGAAGAAGGUCGAGGCGAAGAAUGCUUUGGAGAACUACUCAUACAAUAUGAGGAACACUGUGAAAGAUGAGAAGAUUGCAUCCAAACUGUCCGCUGAAGACAAGAAGAAGAUUGAGGAUGCCAUUGAGGAAGCCAUCCAAUGGCUUGAUGGCAACCAGCUUGCCGAGGCUGAUGAAUUUGAAGACAAAAUGAAGGAACUCGAGGGCAUCUGCAACCCAAUCAUUGCAAAAAUGUACCAGGGCGCUGGCGGCGACAUGGGUGGUGCCAUGGAUGAUGAGGGUCCUGCUCCUAGCGGCGGCGGUGCUGGUCCUAAGAUUGAGGAGGUGGACUAAGUUGGUGCUCCUAUAUUGUUUUUUAUUUCUUAAUUAGAGACCUGCAAUUUUAUUUUAAAGAUCUAUGUGGCUAUGAUUUUUGCUUAGUAGUUGAAUUAUAUUAUUUUCAUUCUGCAAUCAAGUACUGCUAUCUUUUAUUUCUCGGUUUUCAUCAAAUGUUUGCUCUUCCUUAUGUCUUAGUCUUAGUUCCCCUUUGAGCUUGAGGUCAACUUUAUAUUAUAGCUUAACUAAAUUGAGUUAGGCGAAGUGUGAAAGACGCCUAUUUUGUUUUUUUGUUUCUCUUAAUCCUAACUAAGCGGAUUUUGACCAGGGAGGUUGCCGAUUUGUUUAGUACUUAUAAUAGUAGUAAAUUUCUUUUAUUUUGGGUCAAGGGGGUACUACUAAGAGGGGUCGGAUUUGCUAAACAAUAUUUCCAGAUCUGAAAGGCCAAAUUCUGUCGAGGGUCUCCACACCUCUUUGAUGUCAGUAGUCUUUAGUUUCUAGUAUCUUUAACCUUCUACACCUCACGACAAUUGGGAACAAGCAGAGAAAUAGCAUGUAACUAUCAACUCCUUGUAACGUGCAAAAUGUUUUAAAAUGAAAUUAUAUUAAAAGAGGAAGAAAUCCUCUAAAAGGGAUCCCACAAUAAUUAAAAAAAAAGGUUCUUAAUCCUCUUCAACUCUUCCCAUGAAGAGAUACUAAUAAGAUAGUCCUAAAUAAGUUUUGAGCGAAUACUAGGUAAUCAGGUCAAAUCUAUACGUGGCAAAAAGUGAUUGGCUCUCAUGAUGUGGACUUGUGGUCCACAAAAAUAAAAGAUAUGUCCAUCCUCUCGCAAUGUCCGCGAAGGAGCCAUAUUGCCAAUCCAAUCAAUCUUCUAUUACCAAAUCCUUAAACUCACAAAUUUUGUCACUUUGUUUAUUUUCCUAUCCUCGACCAUAUAGUCUAUUUCUAUCUUUAUAGGAUAGAGAUAAGAUCUGCUUACACAUUAUCCUCCCCAGACCUCACUUAUAAAAAUAAACUGAAUUUAUUGUUAUUGUUGACCAUAUAGUCCCUCUCUCUUUAUCACAAUCAUGAUUUAGCUUGGGGAAUUUCGUGUGGUUGAGAAUGGAGUGGACGUAGUUUACUGAAAAUUGUCUUCUUGAGCAAAGCAAACCAAGACAAGUUGAAGGCAAAGGAAAUAACACUACAAUAAAGACAAUGAAAGGGGGCAGAAAAAUCAAUAGCUACUUGUAGUGGGAUGGAUACCUUUGGCUCAAUAAUAGAAUUCGUGUGGGAACCAUAUAAUUUACUCCUUAUGUGACAUAGAUUUUAUUUGGAAAAAUUCAACAACAUACCCAGUAUUAUCCAAUACCGUGGGGUCUGGAGAGGAUAGUGUAUACGCAGACCUCACCCUACUUUGUAAAGAUAGAGAGGCUAUUUCCAAUAGACCAUCGACUCAAGAUUAUUUGGAAAAAUAUAAAACAAAAAUCGGGAUAAAGCACUUGAUAGCCUUGACCACGACAAUUAACAACUUGCAAGAAAAGACAGGAUUAAGUUUUGAAAAACAGCUUCUGUAAAUUAAAUAAUUAAGUCACGACAUACUACACCUAUUCAAUAUUUUUAUAUGGCACAAAUAUAGGCAGGCUCUCAUGAUGUGGAAUUGGGGUCCUUAACACAUAACAUAAGUCCUCCAAAAUAUCCAAGUGGGGUUCUUUUGAGUUAUAUGAACAAGACCAUAUCACCUAUCCAACAACCACUCUAUAAUCCUUCCUCAACCUAACAACCUUAUCACUUUCCUUCUUUCAUUUUCUUUAAAAAAUUACUUUUUGUUAAUUGCGCUCAUCUCGACUAUUCCUUAGGGAUAACACAGAAUUUGAAGAUCGGGGUGCACUUAUAAAUUCAACAAAAAUCUGUAUCCACCACUAAUAUAUCACUAUUUUCUAUAAAAAUAUUUACAUGAAAUUUUUGCCGAACUUUAUGGGUGCAGGUGACCCCUCCCUAUAUAGCAUAGGUCCGCCUCUAAGUAUAUGUAUCGAAUAAUCCUACCCAUGACACGACUUAGACAAAUGAGAAGAAAGCACCUAGCGUAUUUUUAAAUUUCUGUUGAAAUUUGAACACCAAUUUCUCAUGAUUUUUAUCUCAUUUCAUUAACCGCUAGUCGUAUCAUGGCGAUUAUGUUACCAUCCUUUUCUUCAAAAACCAUACACAACAUCAGCCUGUCUCAAAUCUCUUGCUAAAAAUCAUGUUUGGCUUAGGGGAGGAGAUUAUUUACUGAAAUUUGCUUUCUUGAGCAUCCAUACAAAAAGGAAAAUAAGUUCAAAAUUCCUCAUCUAAAGCUUACAAGCUAUCCAAGAUAAGUUGAUGCCAAAGGUGUGGCUGCCUUAUAUACCUCUUUAUUUCUGUGGCCUCAAUUUUAUUUUGAAAAAUUCACAACACAACAGAUUCACAUGUAUGAAGUAAUUUCUUGAAUACCAAAAUCCAUUCUACAAUGCAACAUUUAACAUUCUUCAGAAAGAGAACCAAAUGCUUCGUUUUGUUAGCUAACCAAAUUACUAUGCUAAGCAUGAGAAGCUAUGAAGUUUAAUAGAUAACACAACAUCAAUUACUAUGCUAAUAAACCAAGGAGUGAAAUUUCAUAGCAAACACUGUUACAACAAAAACUAGCUGGAAAAAGACUACCAAACACAACAUUUAGUGUGUGAAAAUGGAACACAAGAUCAUAUUCAGUUCCAUAAACCACAAUAUAGAUAAUAUAAAGUCAGCGUCCAAUGAAGCAUCGGCCCUAACAACCACCCAUGCAUAUCUCCGAGUAAGCGUUUAGGUCAACAUGAGAUCAUUUCCCACAAGGUGAGGACGAAGACAUACCCGAACUUCAUGCUCUUCUUCCGGCCCCUCGCGAACUUUUGGCACCAAUAUCUCAAGCACUGUUCCUGAUCCAUCGUAGUAUGCUUCUAUUUUAGCAUCUUCAGGAAUUCUGGUUGAAAGAGGGAUCUCUCUGACAAACUCCCCCGGAGGGCAAUGUUCUGAGGACGACGCUUCAAGCUUGAAAGUCCUGUUCUGUCUCUUGAUGAACGGGAUUCGAGAUGUGCUCAAACAAGAAACCUUGAUUAUCCCAUGUGUGAGCGUGUUCCUCCACGAAACUUUCACCCUUUGAAGAUCUACAAAUGGCAAACUGAUUAUGAUCAAAUAGCCUUCAUCGUCUUCGUAGAUGGAUUUUGCAGCUGUUACGGGCCCAUAAACAUCCCUCAUCACCCCACUAAAUUCAUUUAACCAAUAUGGUUCAUUUGGGUGAAUUUCCAGGUCUGGAAUUUGAUAGGAAGUAGGAGGAUUUACUUGCAGAUAACACUCUUCUUCAUUUCCAUUCGAGAAGAAAUCCUUUUUCCUUUUGCCAUUGACAGGUAGUAGUAGAUCCAUCGCCUCUCCGUUGCUAUGAUUGGACGGCUGAGUUGACAAAUUAAGUCCAGAGCCAUUAAGCAAUUUCUUACUCUUUAUUGGCGGAGCUGGCCUCUCAAGCUCAAAUUCAGUGGUGGGGAUGUUUCUCCACGAACUAAAGUCACUAGCUUCCGGUGGAAUAGUGAAGUUGACGUCCCUACCUGUGAGUUCCUUCCAUCUUUUGCGCUCCUCUUCAUCAAGAACCAUGAGAUUCGGAGAUGGCACAACCUCGAUCCCAUGAACACAUUGAGGAUUUGAUAGGCCUCUGUAAUGCUUCCGUUGCAUCCUAUGGGAUCGAAUGAAACCCCUGUCGGCACUAAAGGGAAAUGGACGUUCACCUUGUCGAGAAUGACCAUUCAUGUAACUCCGUAGCUGCAUCUUACCCAGUGCAUUCUCGGGCCUAUCCUUGAAUACCCACAUGUACAUAUUCUCCAUAUCAUGCUGAACCAUGAAAACGUCGAGCUGUAGAUCAGAUUUAUCAAACCCGGAAACCCCAUUACUAUCUCGGACCAUCUUUGGCUUAGAUUUCUCAUUUAAAACAGGCUUAAAGUAAAAGCUAAAGAAAAACCAAGCGCCCCAGAUGCUAUCUACUCGUUUCACACAUUUCCUCCCAACUUUAGGCACACUAAGAAAUGUUUCAGGUUCAUAGAUCUGAGUACCAAGCCCGACAUCAAGAAUAUCACAGUGUUCCGAGUUCCAUGGCUGAGGAGGCGAGCUACGCUCAGCUGAUAAGGGCAGAUUGAUGUCAGGCGGACGAGUAAUAACAACUUGGCGAUUCAUCUCGAGGUCUAAUUCAUCAUGUGAAGAAGAAGCACUUGAAUCCAUUGACAAUAGGGUUGAAGGGUGAUGAUUAUUCUCCAUUGACAAUGUUUUAAGAAGAGUAUCUACCAUUUCACAAAUUUAUCCCCUUAAAAAUAAAGGGACUCUAUUGCUAAAUGCUAGCUCCAAUAUUUAAGUACCCAAAUGAACUUUUUUGACAAAGAAUUGUUCUUUACAAACAACACAUCCAUCUUGAUAAUCCCAACCACAACAUUCACACCACCACUAAAUCCCUUUAACUUAUUUCAUCACAUAACUACAAACCCCAAAUAGGAAAAUAGUCAAAAUAUUCAGCAACAGCUAUAAAACUCCAAAGAAAAGCUAUAAAAAUGAAAUCUUGGAAACCCCAUAGUCUUUAUUUCCCCCAAAACCUACAGAAAAACUGUAUCUUUUUGCAUCUAAUAACAGAACUAUAUGUAUUUUUGAUUAUGUAAAAAUCAAGAAAAUUGAUAUGGGACUAGAAAAAAGGAGAAUGUAUUACCAAUCAAUAAAGCCAAGGCCCAAGAAAAGGACUAAAUCAGAAGGGAUCUUAGAUGAAUACCUUUUAGGAUAAGCUUCAACAACUAAAAACCCACAAAUAUUUGGACACUCUGAAGAAUCAAUAGCCCUUACCAUCCUCAUAUCUUCACUUUCUACUAGUAAUUGAUUUUUUACUUUUGGUUUGAAGAAUUAACACAAACACACAGCAAUUACAUAGGAAUGAAGUGAAAAAAGAACUCAAGUCAAGACUACAAAGAGAGAGGGGAAAAAAGGGGGACACAAAUAUAUGGGGAAAUUAGUUUGUGCUUUUGCUGUUUGGUGGUGACAAACAGAAAUACCCUGUACUAGAUAACACCGUUUGAUCAAAGAGUGUUCACCGUUUGAUUGAUCUAAGAACAGCUGUCACCAUUUUCACUAACGGUGACGGUGGUUUUUUGGACUGUUUGUGGGGUAGAUAUAAAGUCGGGGAUGGUAAGAGAUUGAUAUAAUUAAUUAGGGUUGGUGUUUAGUGAGUUGCUUGUACCAUUUGAAGUUUUACUACUUUUUGAGUUGUUUAGAUUUUGUUUAUUUAUGUUUCACACAAAGUUUGACUUUACUAUUUUUUACUCUCCUCGCUAUCAAGAGGAAGUGAUAUGCCUCGGAAGAUUGGUUCGGACAUGUGAAGAAGAAGAACAUAAAUAGGGAAUAUCACACAAAUAAUUGGUAAGAUUUAAUAUAUUUUUUUAAGUCGAUAUACAUUUAUGAUAUAUUGAUAAUGUAUAAUUAUAAAUAUGUGGUAGUAUUUUAAUAUUUUGUGAACAAGUGACUAUGAAUAUCUACACUUUUGCAUGAACAUAUGUGGCCAAAUAGCUAAGCCAUAAAUAAGUGACAAUCAUCUUUCAUGCAAUUAAACACUUGGCAAUUUAAGAAACUCCUAGUAUCUCUAUAAAUAGUCUUCUUGAUUUCAUCCGUAAGUGCAAUCAACAAAAAUUGGUCUUUUUACACUUUUCUUAGCUAAUUAUUGCUUUCUUCUUUAGCUAAUCAUUUCUAUAAUUAUUAUUCCUACUAUUGACCAAAUCAUUAUCUCUUGUUAUUAUUUCUUCCCUCCGGUUAAUUCUAACUUGCUGGAUUUAUUGUUUAAUUUUGCUGAUUCCUGUAUUCUCUAAAUAAAUAGAGAUGUGCUUGUUUAAUCCUGGGGAAACAUUUCACAUUGUUGAAAUAGUUUCUUAGGACAGUGCCUACCACGACUCAAGCCAAUCCGUGUAUAUUCUUACAAAUAAUAUUAUUGCAGUAUUAUUAUUUUUAUUUUUUCGGUGUCAUUUCCCCUACAAUCUAAGAAACUAUGACAAGUAAUACUACUACGGAAAUUUUUGAUGGUGCUACCAAUUUUGGUGUUGUCUCCGCUGCUACGGUUCCAGUUGUCCUGUCAGAUAUUCAUGGUGUUGCAAAUACGUUAUUGCAUCCACAACUUUGGCAGAUACUAAUGUCAAAACACAGGUAUGUAAAUAGACAUAGUUACAUAUCCAAUGCUAAAAUUAAAACCUUCAAGAAAAAUGCACCUCAAUGCAAAUGAAGAGUUGGGAUACAUGAUAAUCUCGCUAAGUCAAAAUUAAAUUUGCCUAAAGCGGAUAAUAUAAUUGUUGCGGUCAUUUCCCAAAUAAAUAAUGUGGUCAAUGUGAGAGAUUGGGUGAUAGACUCUAGUGCUACUAGGCACAUUUGUGCAAACAAAAAUGAAUUUUUGUCUUACACCCAAGUUGAGGCAGGAGAAGAAACUAUUUAUCUUGGUGACUCAAGAAUAACUCGUGUUCUUGGGAAAGGAAAAAUUCUUCUCAAACUCACAUCUGGUAAAACUCUAGCAUUGAGAGAUAUUUUGCAUGUUCCUAAUAUUUUUGUGGGGUUAUUAGUAAAAGUUGGAAUGAAGGUUUCUUUUGAAAAUAAUGAGGUCGUAUUGACCAAAAAUAAUAUUUUUGUGGGCAAUGGAUAUUGUAACCAUGAUUUAUUUGUACUUAAAACUUCCGAUACUAGCAAUAAAAAUGCAUCUUCUUCUGCUUAUAUGGUUGAGUCAAUUUCUUUGUGGCAUGCUAGAUUAUGACAUGUUAAUGUUGCAUAUAUAUAGAAAAUGCCGUCGCUAGGAUUAAUAUCUGGUUUAGACUCAAAAUAAUUUUGACAAGUGUGAAAUAUGUGCUGAAGCUAAAAGUACUAGAAAGACUUGUGUUUCCGUAAAUAGAGAAACUGAAUUGUUAUCCUUGAUUCACACCGAUUUAGGCGAUUUAAAGUAGACUAUGACAAGAGGUGGUAAAAGAUAUUAUAUGACUUUUAUUGAUAAUGUUUCUAGAUAUACUAAGUUGUAUUUACUUAGAAAUAAAGAUGAUGCUUUAAUGGCUUUUAUUUNNNNNNNNNNNNNNNNNNNNNNNNNNNNNNNNNNNNNNNNNNNNNNNNNNNNNNNNNNNNNNNNNNNNNNNNNNNNNNNNNNNNNNNNNNNNNNNNNNNNNNNNNNNNNNNNNNNNNNNNNNNNNNNNNNNNNNNNNNNNNNNNNNNNNNNNNNNNNNNNNNNNNNNNNNNNNNNNNNNNNNNNNNNNNNNNNNNNNNNNNNNNNNNNNNNNNNNNNNNNNNNNNNNNNNNNNNNNNNNNNNNNNNNNNNNNNNNNNNNNNNNNNNNNNNNNNNNNNNNNNNNNNNNNNNNNNNNNNNNNNNNNNNNNNNNNNNNNNNNNNNNNNNNNNNNNNNNNNNNNNNNNNNNNNNNNNGUAACUCCGCCUUAUUCACCUGAGUCAAAUGGAGUAGCUGAAAGGAAAAAUAGAACAUUGAAAGAGAUGAUGAACUCUAUGUUAGUUAGUUCUAAUGCUCCUGAUAAUUUGUGGGGUCAAGCUAUAUUAUCUGCUUGUCACUUACAAAAUAGAGUACCACAUAGAAGAACUGGCAAAACUCCGUAUGAAUUGCGGAAGGGUUAUAAAUCUAACUUGAAAUAUUUAAAAAUGUGGGGGUGCCUUGCUAAAGUUCUUUUGCCUGAACCUAAAAGGAGGGAAAUAGGUUCUAAAACUGCUGAUUGCAUGCUUAUUGAUAUGCUGAACAUAGUGCUGCAUAUAGAUUUCUUGUUUUAAAAAGUGAUAUGCUUGAUUGCAAUACUAUAUUUGAGACAAAGAAUGUUGAGUUCUUUGAAUAUAUUUAUCCAUUUUCUGAUAAAAUUUCUCAUACACCUGUUGAAACAAAUAGUGAAGUUACCUCUAAUAAGGAACUGAGAGGGAGCAAAAGACCUAGGAAAGAAUAUUUUUCUUAUGGAAAUGAUUUUCAAACCUUUCUUGUCAAUAAUGAACCAUCAAAUUAUUUUGAAGCUAUAUCUUCUUCAGAAGUUAAACAUUGGAAAGAGGCAAUAAAAGUUGAAAUUGAUUCUAUUAUGAAAAAUAAUACAUGGAUUUUAACUGAUUUACCCCCUGGUACA